This 799-nucleotide long non-coding RNA is filed under the name Capsicum annuum. Its description in RNAcentral is "long non-coding RNA (CANN_LNC016208)". The record is from RNAcentral. Lineage: Eukaryota; Viridiplantae; Streptophyta; Magnoliopsida; Solanales; Solanaceae.
ACAUAUAUUCAUAAAUACACAAGCAUAUUUUAUUUAUUUCAUUUUUCUAUUUUGCUCUUCAAAACACUCCAAUGGAUACAUUACACAACAACCUCUUUGACAUUUUUCUUCACAAAAUAAAUAGUUGUGCUAUCAUCCAUUCACGGACAGACCAUGAACAUAAAACAAUACUCUAACAUAUUACAAAAUACACAGAACCCAAUUUUUCCUUUUUCUUUCUUCUUCAUCCAAAAGGCACAUACACACACACUUGAGCGGAUCAUCUCCAUUUUGAAAAUCUUCUACAAAAUAAACACACUAUAAAACAUGACAACACACACAAUUAUCAUUUUCAUCUCCUUCUCCCUCAUAAUUCUCUCUUUUUCCUUCACUGUUCGAGAUCUAAGCGAGCGUCCAAACAACACCAACCCCGCCGCUUCUCAGAUCUGCAGCCACCAGCCACCCUCCGCUACAACAAACCACUUCUCUGGCGAGUGCCGCCUAGCGCCGCCUCUAACACCAACAAAACAGCAUCGCGACAGCCCCCUUCUCCCCCUUUCGCUUUUUACCAUCAAGAAUUGGCCAGAUCUGGUCGUACUCCCAUUUUCCAGCGUUGCUCCGGCGAUUGCCGUCGAAGCAACGCCAAUCCUUGUCUCUUACUAUAGAUUUAUUUGGUAGUAUGUUUAUUUUACAGAUAUGGGUCAUUUAUGGUGCUAACAUUUUUUUUUUCUACUUUGGAUCCUUAAUACUUUGACUGUGUUUGUUGACAUAUUUGAUGAAUUUAACAACCAUUAUAUGGUCAAAAGUUGUUGCUAUACUC